CACGUAGGGUGCGAGCGUUGUCCGGAAUUAUUGGGCGUAAAGAGCUCGUAGGCGGUGUGUCGCGUCGGCCGUGAAAACCUGCAGCUUAACUGUGGGCUUGCGGUCGAUACGGGCAUCACUGGAGUUCGGCAGGGGAGACUGGAAUUCCUGGUGUAGCGGUGAAAUGCGCAGAUAUCAGGAGGAACACCGGUGGCGAAGGCGGCAUCCUGGACCAACACUGACGCUGAUGAGCGAAAGCCAGGGGAGCAAACGGG
This 254-nucleotide ribosomal RNA is filed under the name uncultured bacterium. Its description in RNAcentral is "partial 16S ribosomal RNA". It matches the Rfam family "Bacterial small subunit ribosomal RNA", at positions 524 to 776 of the family's 1533-position model. The record is from RNAcentral.